GGGUUGUGAGGUUAAGCGACUAAGCGUACACGGUGGAUGCCCUGGCAGUCAGAGGCGAUGAAGGACGUGCUAAUCUGCGAUAAGCGUCGGUAAGGUGAUAUGAACCGUUAUAACCC
This 116-nucleotide ribosomal RNA is filed under the name Escherichia coli. RNAcentral's name for it is "partial 23S ribosomal RNA". It matches the Rfam family "Bacterial large subunit ribosomal RNA", at positions 1 to 105 of the family's 2925-position model. Lineage: Bacteria; Pseudomonadati; Pseudomonadota; Gammaproteobacteria; Enterobacterales; Enterobacteriaceae. The record is from RNAcentral.